Molecule: ribosomal RNA, 100 nt
Filed under: uncultured eukaryote
Lineage: Eukaryota
Description: partial 28S ribosomal RNA
Source: RNAcentral
GCAUAUCAAUAAGCGGAGGAAAAGGUGGAGAAGAAAGGAGAAGAGGAGAAAGAGACAGAAAGAGAGACUGUGAAUAUUACACCGUCUUGAAACACGGACC